This 73-nucleotide transfer RNA is filed under the name Thermoplasmata archaeon. RNAcentral describes it as "tRNA-Ala". It matches the Rfam family "tRNA". From Rfam's summary of the family: Transfer RNA (tRNA) molecules are approximately 80 nucleotides in length. Lineage: Archaea; Methanobacteriati; Thermoplasmatota; Thermoplasmata. The record is from RNAcentral.
GGGGCUGUAGCUCAGCUGGGAGAGCGCCUCAAUGGCAUUGAGGAGGUCGUGGGUUCAAGUCCCACCAGCUCCA